UGGGGUGGGGAGUGGGGGACU
Molecule: microRNA, 21 nt
Filed under: Mus musculus (house mouse)
Lineage: Eukaryota; Metazoa; Chordata; Mammalia; Rodentia; Muridae
Description: mmu-miR-6931-5p
Source: miRBase by way of RNAcentral